This is a non-coding RNA of Pelobates cultripes (western spadefoot toad), 346 nucleotides long. Lineage: Eukaryota; Metazoa; Chordata; Amphibia; Anura; Pelobatidae. The record is from the annotation of a GenBank genome assembly.
AUCCAGCCAAGUGAAAAACACUCUCCAGGAGGUAGGCAUAUCAUUAUUCAAGUCUACCAUGAAGAGAAGACCUCACAAGAGCAAAUACAGAGGGUUCACCACACUGUACAAACCAUUUGUAAGCCUCAAGAAUAGAAAGGCUAAAUCAGACUUUGCCAAAAAAAAUCUUAAAAAGCCAGCCCAAUUCUGGAACAGCAUUCGUUAGAUAAAAUAUCAACCUGUUCCAGUAUGAAGGGGAAGAAAAAAAGUAUGGAGAAGGUUUGGAACAGCUCAUGAUCUGAAGCAUACAACAUCAUCUGUAAAACACAGUGGAGGCAGUGUGAUGGCAUGGGCACACAUGGCUUCC